GUCUUUAUACAGCAUUUAUGGGAUGUUUUAUGUAUACAAUAUUUGGAAGCUGUAAAGACUUGACAAUUGGACCAACUGCAAUUAUGUCAUUAAUGACUGCGGAAUAUGUUGGUGCUGGAGGAAUUCCAUAUGUUUUGAUAAUGACUUUUCUUUCUGGUUGUUUGCAGCUUCUUAUGGGAAUUUUACAUCUUGGAUUUCUUGUGAACUUUAUAUCUGCAUCUGUUAUAAGUGGUUUCACAUCUGCAGCUGCUAUUACAAUAGCUUCAACUCAAUUAGCUGGUCUUCUUGGAGUAAAAGUUAAAUCUCAAGAAUUUUUUACCUCAAUUUAUGAAAUCUUUUCAAAGAUACAUACAGCAAAUUAUUGGGAUACUAUUAUGGGAAUUUUGUGCGUAAUAAUUCUGUUAUUACUUAGGUAUUUUAAAGAAUUAAAAUUUAGAGAAGACUCAACAAUUACUCCAAAAUUGAGAAAAAUUUUGUCUACAGUUUGGUGGAUGAUUACAACAGGAAAAAAUGCUUUGAUUGUUCUUGUCUGUGGAGGUUUAGCAUCUAUUCUUUUAAUUUAUAACAUAUCUCCAUUUACACUUACUCAGGUUAUCAAAGCUGGUUUGCCACCAUUUGAACCACCACCAUUCUCUGUUGACGUCUAUGAUAAUUCAACUAAUAAAACUGAGCACAAAGAUUUUAUUAGAAUAGUUCAGGAUUUGAGAAUUGGUGUGAUUAUGAUUCCUGUGAUUAGCAUCUUGGAAGCAAUUGCUAUUGCCAAGGCUUUUGCUAAAGGAAAGAAACUUGAUGCAUCACAAGAAAUGAUAGCUUUAGGAAUUGGUAACAUAAUGGGUUCAUUUGUUUCUUCAUUUCCUGCUACUGGAAGUUUUUCAAGGACUGCAAUAAAUUAUAGCAGCGGUGUCAAAACUCAGUUUGGCGGAGUAUUUACAGGAACUACAGUAAUUCUUGCAUUGUGCGUCUUGUCUCCAUAUUUUCGUUACAUUCCUAAGCCGUCUUUAAGUGCCAUCAUAAUUGUUGCCGUUCUUAAUAUGGUGCAUUACAAAGAUAUUCCAGUUAUGUGGAGGACAAACAAACUUGAUCUGUUACCUUUUCUUGCUACUUUUAUUUGUUCAUUUGUAAUCGGGUUGGAAUAUGGAAUUAUUAUUGGUAUGUCCCUUGCAUUGAUGAUAAUCCUAUUUCAACAAGCAAGACCAAAAAUAACAUUUAAAGAUAAACUGACCUCACAGGGACAAAAAUAUUUAUUCGUCCAACCUGAUAGAACAGUAUUGUUUCCUGCUACCGAUUAUCUUACCAGUAAAAUUACACAGAAACUCCCAGAUAAUAAAGAUUUUCAAAAUUAUUUCGUAGUGAUCGACGGUGAAUAUAUCAUAAGUUGCGAUUAUACAAUGGCUGUUGCAAUGAAGAAUAUGAUUGAAAACUUCAGUAAAAUGAACAUAAUUACAGUUUUUGUUAAUUUGAAACAACAUGUUAUUGAUACUAUAAAAGGUGCAAAUCCUAUUGUUUUCUAUUACUGCCCAUCUGAAUCUCAUAUUGAAGAAUUAUUUCAAAGAUGUUGAUUUUUGUGUAAAUGUCUGCUUUCUCUACCUGCCAAUCAUUCUUUAUUUAUUUCUCUUUAGUUUCUAGAGCUUUCUAUGCAUUUAAGGUUAUUUAAAUCGUAAUACAGAAUGGGUUCGGGAUCUUCCGGUCUCCAUAAACCGUCAAGAGUCAGAUGGAAAAUUGGACCAAGACACUCUGGAGCAUCUCUUGGACUCAAAUUACUCCUA
RNAcentral lists this unclassified non-coding RNA (1766 nucleotides) under Centruroides sculpturatus (bark scorpion). RNAcentral describes it as "sodium-independent sulfate anion transporter-like, transcript variant X5". The record is from RNAcentral. Lineage: Eukaryota; Metazoa; Arthropoda; Arachnida; Scorpiones; Buthidae.